This 619-nucleotide ribosomal RNA is filed under the name Bacillus velezensis. RNAcentral's name for it is "bacterial SSU rRNA". It matches the Rfam family "Bacterial small subunit ribosomal RNA", at positions 79 to 683 of the family's 1533-position model. Lineage: Bacteria; Bacillati; Bacillota; Bacilli; Caryophanales; Bacillaceae. The record is from RNAcentral.
UUGCUCCCUGAUGUUAGCGGCGGACGGGUGAGUAACACGUGGGUAACCUGCCUGUAAGACUGGGAUAACUCCGGGAAACCGGGGCUAAUACCGGAUGGUUGUCUGAACCGCAUGGUUCAGACAUAAAAGGUGGCUUCGGCUACCACUUACAGAUGGACCCGCGGCGCAUUAGCUAGUUGGUGAGGUAACGGCUCACCAAGGCGACGAUGCGUAGCCGACCUGAGAGGGUGAUCGGCCACACUGGGACUGAGACACGGCCCAGACUCCUACGGGAGGCAGCAGUAGGGAAUCUUCCGCAAUGGACGAAAGUCUGACGGAGCAACGCCGCGUGAGUGAUGAAGGUUUUCGGAUCGUAAAGCUCUGUUGUUAGGGAAGAACAAGUGCCGUUCAAAUAGGGCGGCACCUUGACGGUACCUAACCAGAAAGCCACGGCUAACUACGUGCCAGCAGCCGCGGUAAUACGUAGGUGGCAAGCGUUGUCCGGAAUUAUUGGGCGUAAAGGGCUCGCAGGCGGUUUCUUAAGUCUGAUGUGAAAGCCCCCGGCUCAACCGGGGAGGGUCAUUGGAAACUGGGGAACUUGAGUGCAGAAGAGGAGAGUGGAAUUCCACGUGUAGCGGUG